CGGCGUGCUUAACACAUGCAAGUCGAACGGAAAGGCCCUGCUUUUGUGGGGUGCUCGAGUGGCGAACGGGUGAGUAACACGUGAGUAACCUGCCCUUGACUUUGGGAUAACUUCAGGAAACUGGGGCUAAUACCGGAUAGGAGCUCCUGCUGCAUGGUGGGGGUUGGAAAGUUUCGGCGGUUGGGGAUGGACUCGCGGCUUAUCAGCUUGUUGGUGGGGUAGUGGCUUACCAAGGCUUUGACGGGUAGCCGGCCUGAGAGGGUGACCGGCCACAUUGGGACUGAGAUACGGCCCAGACUCCUACGGGAGGCAGCAGUGGGGAAUAUUGCACAAUGGGCGGAAGCCUGAUGCAGCAACGCCGCGUGCGGGAUGACGGCCUUCGGGUUGUAAACCGCUUUCGCCUGUGACGAAGCGUGAGUGACGGUAAUGGGUAAAGAAGCACCGGCUAACUACGUGCCAGCAGCCGCGGUGAUACGUAGGGUACGAGCGUUGUCCGGAUUUAUUGGGCGUAAAGGGCUCGUAGGUGGUUGAUCGCGUCGGAAGUGUAAUCUUGGGGCUUAACCCUGAGCGUGCUUUCGAUACGGGUUGACUUGAGGAAGGUAGGGGAGAAUGGAAUUCCUGGUGGAGCGGUGGAAUGCGCAGAUAUCAGGAGGAACACCAGUGGCGAAGGCGGUUCUCUGGGCCUUUCCUGACGCUGAGGAGCGAAAGCGUGGGGAGCGAACAGGCUUAGAUACCCUGGUAGUCCACGCUGUAAACGGUGGGUACUAGGUGUGGGGUCCAUUCCACGGGUUCCGUGCCGUAGCUAACGCUUUAAGUACCCCGCCUGGGGAGUACGGCCGCAAGGCUAAAACUCAAAGGAAUUGACGGGGCCCCGCACAAGCGGCGGAGCAUGCGGAUUAAUUCGAUGCAACGCGUAGAACCUUACCUGGGUUUGACAUGGAUCGGGAGUGCUCAGAGAUGGGUGUGCCUCUUUUGGGGUCGGUUCACAGGUGGUGCAUGGCUGUCGUCAGCUCGUGUCGUGAGAUGUUGGGUUAAGUCCCGCAACGAGCGCAACCCUUGUUCACUGUUGCCAGCACGUUAUGGUGGGGACUCAGUGGAGACCGCCGGGGUCAACUCGGAGGAAGGUGGGGAUGACGUCAAGUCAUCAUGCCCCUUAUGUCCAGGGCUUCACGCAUGCUACAAUGGCUGGUACAGAGAGUGGCGAGCCUGUGAGGGUGAGCGAAUCUCGGAAAGCCGGUCUCAGUUCGGAUUGGGGUCUGCAACUCGACCUCAUGAAGUCGGAGUCGCUAGUAAUCGCAGAUCAGCAACGCUGCGGUGAAUACGUUCCCGGGGCUUGUACACACCGCCCGUCACACCACGAAAGUUGGUAACACCCGAAGCCGGUGAGGUAACCUAUUAGGAGCCAGCCGUCUAAGGUGGGGCCGAUGAUUGG
Molecule: ribosomal RNA, 1432 nt
Filed under: uncultured organism
Description: 16S ribosomal RNA
Rfam family: Bacterial small subunit ribosomal RNA
Source: RNAcentral